Molecule: ribosomal RNA, 253 nt
Filed under: uncultured bacterium
Lineage: Bacteria
Description: partial 16S ribosomal RNA
Rfam family: Bacterial small subunit ribosomal RNA
Source: RNAcentral
UACGUAGGGUGCAAGCGUUUGUCCGGAAUUAUUGGGCGUAAAGAGCUCGUAGGCGGUCUGUUGCGUCGGCUGUGAAACCCGGGGCUCAACCCCGGGCCUGCAGCCGAUACGGGCAGACUAGAGUUCGGCAGGGGAGACUGGAAUUCCUGGUGUAGCGGUGAAAUGCGCAGAUAUCAGGAGGAACACCGGUGGCGAAGGCGGGUCUCUGGGCCGAUACUGACGCUGAGGAGCGAAAGCGUGGGGAGCGAACAGG